This 253-nucleotide ribosomal RNA is filed under the name uncultured bacterium. RNAcentral's name for it is "partial 16S ribosomal RNA". It matches the Rfam family "Bacterial small subunit ribosomal RNA", at positions 524 to 776 of the family's 1533-position model. The record is from RNAcentral.
UACGGGGGGGGCAAGCGUUGUUCGGAAUUACUGGGCGUAAAGGGCUCGUAGGUGGCCAACUAAGUCAGACGUGAAAUCCCUCAGCUUAACUGGGGAACUGCGUCUGAUACUGGAUGGCUUGAGGUUGGGAGAGGGAUGCGGAAUUCCAGGUGUAGCGGUGAAAUGCGUAGAUAUCUGGAGGAACACCGGUGGCGAAGGCGGCAUCCUGGACCAAUUCUGACACUGAGGAGCGAAAGCCAGGGGAGCAAACGGG